AUUGAACGCUGGCGGCAUGCCUUACACAUGCAAGUCGAACGGUAACAGGUCUUCGGAUGCUGACGAGUGGCGAACGGGUGAGUAAUACAUCGGAACGUGCCCGAUCGUGGGGGAUAACGCAGCGAAAGCUGUGCUAAUACCGCAUACGAUCUACGGAUGAAAGCGGGGGAUCGCAAGACCUCGCGCGGACGGAGCGGCCGAUGGCAGAUUAGGUAGUUGGUGGGAUAAAAGCUUACCAAGCCGACGAUCUGUAGCUGGUCUGAGAGGACGACCAGCCACACUGGGACUGAGACACGGCCCAGACUCCUACGGGAGGCAG
RNAcentral lists this ribosomal RNA (319 nucleotides) under uncultured Pseudomonadota bacterium. RNAcentral describes it as "bacterial SSU rRNA". It matches the Rfam family "Bacterial small subunit ribosomal RNA", at positions 30 to 351 of the family's 1533-position model. Lineage: Bacteria; Pseudomonadati; Pseudomonadota. The record is from RNAcentral.